AAAACAGCCACCUGUUCUUUCCUUCUUCACCCUGAACUUCUGUUUUCUUCCUACAUAAGGAAUAGAAAAACUUAUCAUUGGUUCUCAUCAGGCAGUUUUGAUUGUUCCCAUCAGGCAAAACAAUGAACAAGAAUGGCAAUUCCUUCUUUGACAAACUGUAGCAGGUUGCAACUGAUGUCAAUAGAACAGAACAGGUUUUUCGGGGCAAUUGCCAACCUCAUUGUCUAACUUGUCCAGAAACAUACAAGAGCUAAAUAUUUUUGCCAACAAUAUAUCUGGCACUAUCCCAUCGGAUAUCGGAAACUUGAUAGGCCUGGAGGUGCUUGUUCUUGGUCGCAACUUGCUCAAUGGGAUAAUUCAUGAGAGCAUAGGGAAGCUUGCACAGCGGGAUGUAAAUGGCAAAUAAACAGCGUCCACAAGUCCCGUUUAGUUAGCUUUAUCUAGCUUGAUAGUUCAUUCUCCCUGGAAAAAAAACAAAUUAUUGAACUGUUAAGACCAUAAGUGGGUUUAAACGGGACCUGCUUUGCAUCCCAAAGUCAAUUAAUAUGGAUCGAAGGGAGUAAUAAAAACAUAGAAGAACUAAUGCUAAUUGGUUUCCAUCAAACAGAUGGACCCGAUUGUUUCAUUCAUUGCACCGCGCCUUGAUAAAUCACUGGGGCCUCCUGGACUACAUCAUGGGGGGCAGGUGCAGCUCAGGAGCAUUUAAUCAGGGAGAGCAAGUCAGUUUCGGCAAUGGUACCGGUACUAAUUUAAUCCGGCAAAAGGCUCGCCGGCAUCAUCCAAAUUCUGUAUUUUAAUCAGGGAGAGCAAGUCAGUUUCGGCACAGGUGCAGAAGUGGUCAAAUUCAGUCCUAGGUCACUAACAUGAAUAAUGGUACCGGUACUAAUUUAAUCCGGCAAAAGGCUCGCCGGCAUCAUCCAAAUUCUGUAUCAGAAAGAAAGAGCUUGUAGCUCCAAUGAUCCAUACCGAGGAGAGAGAGAAAAGAACCACCCAAAUAACCAGCCCGAUGCAGCAAACCAUGUGGCGGAGGGGUACACCGCUGCCACGGCGCCUCUUCGGAAUCAGAUGUCUUGUGCUUCUCCUACUCUCCACCAUGGGGGUCAUGCACGCACACGACGACAACGAGGGAGCUCUCACGGCUUUCAAGGAAAGGAUUUCAGACCAUUCCGGGGUGCUGGCCUCCUGGAACCGGAGCAUCAGCUACUGUGCCUGGGAGGGCGUCACGUGCAGCCGGAGACAUCGGUCGAGGGUGGUUGCUCUGGACCUAAACUCUCAGGGGAUCUCCGGCACUAUCUCCCCUGCCAUCGGCAACCUCACGUUCCUCCGCACGCUCAACUUGAGCCUCAAUCCCUUGCACGGCAAGAUUCCUCCCAGCAUCGGCUCCCUCCGCCGUCUCAAGUACCUUGGACUCCAAGGGAACAUGCUCACUGGUGCGAUCCCAAGCAACAUUAGCCGCUGCACCAACCUCAGGGUGAUGAUAAUUGCUGACAACAAGGGGUUGCAAGGAAGCAUACCUUCUGAGAUCGGCAACAUGCAAUCGCUACGUGUUGUACACCUAUACAACAACAGCCUCACUGGGACCAUCCCCUCAUCACUUGGGAACCUCUCACAGGUGACCAUCUUGUCCCUGGCAGCUAACCAUCUCGAGGGAUCAAUCCCCGAGAGCAUUGGGAACAAUGCACAUCUCGGGUUCCUUCAGCUGGCCAUGAACAACCUCUCAGGUUUGCUUCCUCUUUCGCUGUACAACCAGUCAUCUCUGUACAUGUUUUUUGUGACGGACAACUACCUGCAUGGCCGUCUACCAGCUCAUCUGGGAAGAAGCCUUCCUAGCAUACAGCAGUUUGGAUUUGGGAAUAACCGAUUCACUGGAGUUGUGCCUCCAUCACUGACUAAUAUCUCCAGACUCCAGCUUUUUGAUGUUGCAAAUAACGGAUUCAGUGGGGUUGUCCCUUCAGACUUGGGAAAAUUGCAGUAUCUUAGAAGGUUUAAUCUGGUUGGAAACAAGUUUGAGGCAAACAAUGAGCAAGAAUGGCAAUUCCUUACUUCUUUGACAAACUGUAGCAGGUUGCAACAGAUAAAUAUAGAACAGAACAGGUUCUCGGGGCAAUUACCAACCUCAUUGUCUAACUUGUCCACAAACAUCCAAGAGCUAGAUAUUUUUAACAACAAUAUAUCUGGUACUAUUCCAUCAGAUAUUGGAAAUUUGAUAGGUCUUGAGGUGCUUAUUCUUGCUGGCAACUUGCUCACUGGGGCCAUUCCUGAGACCAUAGGGAAACUUAUACAAUUGAAGAGGCUACAUCUGAGUUCCAACAACUUAUCAGGAUUCAUCCCCUCUUCCAUCGGAAACCUCGCUGGUCUUUAUAGGCUUGGUGCAAGCUUCAACAGCUUGGAGGGACCGAUUCCAUCAAGCAUUGGGAAUUUGACAAAACUUUCAGCACUAGAUAUAUCGACGAACCAUCUUUCUGGCUCAAUUCCAAAGGAAAUUAUGCAACUAUCAUCCAUCUCAAUUUAUUUGGCUUUGUCUUACAACUUGCUGGAGGGACCUCUACCUUCAGAGAUUGGCAAUUUGGUAAAUCUCGAACAGCUUAUCCUAUCAGGGAACCAGUUGUCUGGUAAAAUACCUGCAGCCAUUGGUGGCUGCGUGGUCCUGGAAACCCUCUUGAUGGAUGGCAAUUCAUUCCAAGGAAACAUCCCUCCCACUUUGAAGAACAUCAAAGGGCUUACUGUACUGAAUUUGACGAACAACAAACUGAACGGUAGCAUCCCAGGGGAACUGAGCAACAUUACCAGCUUGCAGGAACUGUAUCUUGCACAUAAUGAUCUGUCAGGGUCAAUCCCUGAACUCCUUGGUUAUUCAACAUCUCUGCUCCACCUCGACAUAUCGUUCAACAAUUUACAAGGUGAGGUACCAAAAGAAGGGAUUUUCAGGAAUUUAACUGGACUAUCAAUUUUUGGAAACAAUGAGUUAUGUGGUGGAAUACCACAGCUUCAACUGCCAAAAUGUCCAAGCUCCAAGAGAGGCUUGCCAAAGUCCCUGAGAAUAGCUGUCCCUGCAGCAGUUGGUAUCCUAGUCUUACUUGUAGCUCUUGCUUUAGCUGGAUUUCUGUACAGAAAAUUUAAGUCAGGAUUGAGGAAAGAACAACUGUCACCUCAGAAGAUUGACCUUCCAACGGUUUCAUACAACGACAUACUCAAAGCAACGGACGGGUUUUCAGAAGCCAAUCUGCUUGGGAAGGGAAGAUAUGGUACUGUAUACAAAGGCACUCUAGAAAAUUUUGCUGCCGCUGUGAAGGUGUUUAAUCUGCAGCAAUCUGGAUCCUACAAGAGCUUCCUGGAUGAAUGUGAGGCACUAAGAAGAGUUAGGCACCGUUGCCUUGUAAAGAUCAUCACAUGUUGUUCAAGCAUCAACCACCAAGGCCAAGACUUCAGAGCGCUAGUCUUCGAGCUCAUGCCCAAUUUCAGCUUAGACCGCUGGAUCCACCCAGAUAUUGAAAGCCAAAACAGAAUGGGAACACUCAGCCUGUCACAGAGGUUAGAUAUCGCCGUUGACCUCGUGGAUGCUAUAGACUAUCUUCACAAUGGUUGCCAACCUUCCAUCAUCCAUUGCGAUCUCAAGCCAAGCAACAUUCUUCUCACAGAGGACAUGAGGGCUCGUGUUGGGGAUUUUGGCAUUGCUAGAAUUCUAAAAGAAGCUGCAAGCGAAGCUUCUGCAAGUUCCCUUAGCUCCAUGGGAAUAAGAGGAUCCAUUGGAUAUGUUGCUCCAGGUAACUGAAUAUGCUCCCCCUAUGCUUGAAAUGAUCACAUUUAAUUAGAUAUAUGUUUUUUAAGGCUUAAUUAGAUACAAUAUAUGUUUAUGAAAUAACUUCUGUGCAUACCUGUUUAUACCCCGAAUUGUUUCAAUCCAUUGUAGAAUAUGGAGAAGGGCUUCCAGUAUCUACUUAUGGUGAUGUGUACAGCCUUGGGAUCACCUUGAUCGAGAUGUUUACUGGAAGGUGCCCGACAGAUGAUAUGUUUAGAGAUGGGUUAACCCUGCAAUACUUUGCAGAGGCAGCAGGUCUAUCUGGGAAUGUCAUGAAGAUAGCAGACUCCAACAUCUGGCUGCAUGAUGAAGCAAACGAUAGCACUGAUACAGAAAAUAUAAGCAGAGCCAAGGAAUGUUUGGCUGCCAUCAUCCAGCUUUGUGUCCUAUGCUCAAAGCAAUUGCCCAGAGAAAGGAUGUCAACAAGUGAUGCUGCUGCAGAGAUGCAUGCCAUCAGAGAUGCCUACCUCAGUAGUCAGUGAAGUGAUGUUAAAUCAUAUGAAGAAACCACUACCAAAUGCCGAUAACCAUGGGUUCUCCAAGUAUAUUAUUGAGAUCUGUACUAUGUUGUGAUGUAAAGUCUAUCAACUGGUACUGUAUUAUUCACUUUAUACACGUUAUCAUUUGUGACAGCAUUGCUGUGGUCUAGGGUAUAAAGAACACAAGAACAUAUGCCUUCCAUCAGUUUUAUUCCAGUCAACCAAUUUCUGAAUCAACCAGCCGCUAAGUGCAAGAAACGAGUCGCGGCUCGCCUACUGUUUAAUCCAAAUUUCAGCACUGGCUUUUGUUUCCAAGUUACUUGUGUUGCGCUUCCAGCCACUUUUGCUGAAGUAUCAUCCUUUGUCGGUAUCAACUAGAUGCUGGCAUGCUGCAACCUCAGGGCUAAUUCAAGAGAGGAAAGAGGGGUGCUACGUGAGAAGAACAAAACUCAAGAAAUGUGUGUGUAAAGUAUCCAGUACAUCACAAGACAUACACCAACUCUCUUUGCAGACUCGUCUUCCAAAGUCAAUUCUGUUGCACUUCCGGCCUCUUUUGUUGAAUUAUCAACUUCACUGGGGAAACUACAUGCUGCAACUUCAACUUCAACUUCAGGGCUAGUUCAAAGGGAACGAAACACCGAACUUUCCUUUUCCUUCAAAAAAAAUCCAACACGAGCACUUGUUCAACUAUGGGCCCCUAAACACCAGCCACGCGUUCUCAUCUAUACUCUUUUUUUUUGACAAAAAACAUAGAAGAAUUCAGGCUAAUUGGUUCCCAUCAGACAGAGACAGUCUUGAUUGUUUUAUUCAUUGCAUUGGGACCUCCUGGACUACAUCACUGGGACCAGGUGCAGCUGAGGAGCAAUUAAUCAGGGACAGCACGUCAGUUUCAACACAGCUGCAUAAGUGGUCAGAUUCAGUCCGAGGUCACUAACAUCGACAACUUGGUACCAGUACUAUUUUAAUUUCGCGAAAGGCACACCAACAUCGUGCAAAUUCUGUAUCAGAAAGCUAGAACUUGUAGCUCCAAUGUUCCAUACCAAGGAAGAGAGAGUGAAAAUAACCACGCACAGAACCAUGUGGCGGAGGGGUACACCGCUGCCACGGCGCCUCGUCGGAAUCAAAUGUCUUGUGCUUCUCCUGCUCUCCACCAUGGGGGUGACGCGCGCACAUGACGGAGAUGAGAGCGCUCUCGAAGCAUUCAAGGAAAGGAUUUCAGACCAUUCAAGGGUGCUGUCCUCCUGGAACAGGAGCAUCAGUUACUGCGCCUGGGAGGGCGUCACGUGCAGCCAGAGGCACCGAUCGAGGGUGGUCGCUCUGGACCUCAACUCCCAGGGGCUCGCCGGCACCAUCUCCCCUGCCGUCGGCAACCUCACGUUCCUCCGCACACUCAACUUGAGCCUCAACCCCUUGUACGGUAAGAUCCCUCCCAGCAUCGGCUCCCUCCACCGCCUCAGGUACCUUGGCCUGCAAGGGAACAUGCUCACCGGUGCGAUCCCAAGCAACAUUAGCCACUGCAGCAGCCUCAGGAAGAUGGUAAUUGCUGACAAUAAGGGGUUGCAAGGAAGCAUACCUUCUGAGAUCGGCAACAUGCAAUCGCUACGUCUUGUACACCUAUACAACAACAGCCUCACCGGGACCAUCCCGUCAUCACUAGGGAACCUCUCCCAGGUGUCCAUCUUGUCCCUGGCAGCUAACCAUCUCCAGGGAUCGAUCCCUGAGGGCAUUGGGAACAUCCCAUCUCUCGAGUUCCUUCAGCUGGCCAUAAAUAACCUCUCAGGUUUGUUUCCUCUUUCGCUGUACAACCAGUCAUCUCUGCACAGAUUUUAUGUGGCGGACAACAACCUGCACGGCCGUCUACCAGCUGAUCUGGGGAGAGGCCUUCCAAACAUGCAACAGUUUGCAAUGGGGGACAAUCAAUUUACUGGAGUUGUGCCUCCAUCACUAACUAAUCUCUCCAGACUCCAGGUUUUUGAUGCUCCAAAUAACGGAUUCAGUGGGGUUGUCCCUUCGGAGUUGGGAAGAUUGCAGUAUCUUAGAUGGUUUUGUCUGGAUGUGAACAAGUUCGAGGCAAACAAUGAGCGAGAAUGGCAAUUCCUUAUUUCUUUGACAAACUGUAGCAGGCUGCGACUGAUGUCUAUAGAACAAAACAGGUUCUCGGGGCAAUUGCCAACCUCAGUGUCUAACUUAUCCACAAACAUCCAAGAGCUAAGUAUUUUGGCCAACAAUAUAUCUGGUACUAUCCCAUCAGAUAUUGGAAAUUUCAUAGGUCUGGAGGUGCUUCAUCUUGGUCACAACUUACUCACCGGGAUAAUUCCUGAUAGCAUAGGGAAGCUUACACAAUUGAAGGAGCUACACCUGGGCUACAACAACUUAUCAGGAUUUAUCCCGUCCUCCAUUGGAAACCUCACCGGUCUGUCUAAGUUUGAUGCAAGCUUCAACAGCUUGGAGGGACCAAUCCCAUCAAGCAUCGGAAAAUUGACCAAACUUUCACAACUAGAUCUAUCGAGAAACCAUCUUAAUGGCACAAUUCCAAGUGAAAUUAUGCAACUAUCAUCGAUCUCAAUAUAUUUGGCUUUGUCUUACAACUUGCUGAAGGGACCUCUUCCUUCAGAAGUUGGUAAGUUGGUAAAUCUCGGGCAGCUUCUUCUAUCCGGGAACCAACUGUCUGGUAAAAUACCUGCAACCAUUGGUGGCUGCGUAGUCCUGGAAACCCUCUUAAUGGAUGGCAAUUCAUUCCAAGGAAACAUCCCUCCCAGUUUGAAGAACAUAAAAGGGCUUACUGUGCUGAAUUUGACGAACAACAAACUGAAUGGAAGCAUUCCAGGGGACCUGAGCAAUAUUACCAGCUUGGAGGAAUUGUAUCUUGCACAUAAUGAUCUAUCAGGGCCAAUACCUGAACUCCUAGGUUAUUCAACAUCACUGUUCCACCUCGACAUAUCCUUCAACAAUUUACAAGGUGAGGUACCAAAAGAAGGGAUUUUCAGGAAUUUAACUGGACUAUCAAUUGUUGGCAACAAUGAGUUAUGUGGUGGAAUACCACAGAUUCAACUGCCAAAAUGCCCAAGCUCCAAGAAAGGCUUGCCAAAGUCUCUGAGAAUAGUUGUCCCUACAACAGGAGGUAUCCUGGUCUUCCUUGCAGCUCUUGCUUUAGCUGGAUUUCUGUACACAAAAUUUAAGCCAGGGUUGAGGAAAGAACUACGGUCACCUCAGACGACCAAGAUUGACCUUCCAAUGGUUUCAUACAACGACAUACUCAAAGCAACGGAUGGGUUUUCAGAAGCCAAUCUGCUCGGGAAGGGAAGAUAUGGUACUGUAUACAAAGGUACUCUAGAAAAUUUCGCUGCGGCUGUGAAGGUGUUUAAUCUGCAGCAAUCCGGAUCCUACAAAAGCUUCCAGGAUGAAUGUGAGGCACUAAGAAGAGUUAGGCACCGUUGCCUUGUAAAAAUCGUCACGUGCUGUUCAAGCAUCAACCACCAAGGCCAAGACUUCAGAGCACUAGUCUUCGAGCUCAUGCCUAAUGGCAGCUUAGACCGCUGGAUCCACCCAGACAUUGAAAGUCAAAACAGAAAUGGAACACUCAGCUUGUCACAGAGGUUAGAUAUCGCUGUUGACCUUGUGGAUGCUUUAGACUAUCUACACAAUGGAUGCCAACCUUCCAUCAUCCAUUGCGAUCUCAAGCCAAGCAACAUUCUUCUCACUGGUGACAUGAGGGCUCGUAUUGGGGAUUUUGGUAUCGCUAGAAUUCUUAAUGAAGGUGGAAGCGAAGCUUCUGCAAAUUCCCUUAGCUCCAUCAGAAUAAGAGGAUCCAUUGGAUAUGUUGCUCCAGGUAACUGAAUAUGCUCCCCCUAUGCUUCACAUGAUAACACCAGAUUAGGUAUAUGUUCAUGAAACAACUUCUGUGCAUAACUUCCCCGCAAAAAAAAAAAAAANNNNNNNNNNNNNNNNNNNNNNNNNNNNNNNNNNNNNNNNNNNNNNNNNNNNNNNNNNNNNNNNNNNNNNNNNNNNNNNNNNNNNNNNNNNNNNNNNNNNNNNNNNNNNNNNNNNNNNNNNNNNNNNNNNNNNNNNNNNNNNNNNNNNNNNNNNNNNNNNNNNNNNNNNNNNNNNNNNNNNNNNNNNNNNNNNNNNNNNNNNNNNNNNNNNNNNNNNNNNNNNNNNNNNUCUGUGCAUACCUGUUUGAACUCCAAAUUGUUUCAAUCCAAUGC
Molecule: long non-coding RNA, 8483 nt
Filed under: Triticum aestivum (bread wheat)
Lineage: Eukaryota; Viridiplantae; Streptophyta; Magnoliopsida; Poales; Poaceae
Description: long non-coding RNA (TAES_LNC015527)
Source: RNAcentral